Long non-coding RNA from Ictalurus punctatus (channel catfish), 2153 nucleotides. The record is from Ensembl. NCBI's taxonomy places the organism in Eukaryota, Metazoa, Chordata, Actinopteri, Siluriformes, Ictaluridae.
UUUUCAUUAUUACAUUUUUAAAAAUGUAUUUAUGACCUGACGACACGUGUUAAUAUGGUGACGUUUUGUGUUAUAUGUAACAAUCAUGGAAGGAGUCUCCGGUGUUAGCGCUUUGUAAAACUGUAACCUUAUGUUUUCCGACAUCUUCGGGACGUAGAUGUUUUUGCGGUUUCUCGGUAACGAAGGACAACAAGCUGCAGUUUUUUUUUUUGCUGCUGCUGAGGGAACGACUGUUUCAGGAACAGCAACUGACCAGUUUCACAACAUUAUAAGUAACUAUAGAUGGUUAAGAAGUACGGCACGUAACCAAAAGGACCUUGCUAGCUAUGAUAUCCAGCUGCGAGAGGCGAUUCUGUUUUAAGCCGAAUUUCAAAUGACCCCAAAACACAACUAGCUAAUAAGUGAUGCGUAAGAAUGAUGGUAGUUUAAGGUUGUGCAUCGACUUAUAAGUAGAUGUUUUUAGCGACAUGCUUUGAUUUUUCUGUCUGAACCAUUUUUACCCAUUAAAAAAGAGAACACGGAUACCACAUGCUCCAGCGAUAGCCUCGAAGGCUGAGGAUUGCUCCCUAAACAUAGCAUGUGCUAUCGAUCUGCUCAUCUCCUGUACAAACAGCAGCGCUAGCACUUCUUCAGCCUGAGUCAGGUCUACAAAAGAUGAGCUGAAACUAGCAUUCUGCGUGACAACGCCGGGCGUCGGAGGACCGAGCGUGAUUAUUCGAGCCAUGUCGGCUAAAAUGGCAUCAUCACUCGCUCUGCAUUGAGGGAGGAAAUGCGAAUGUGAUGACACUAGCGCUUAUUUCCGGAAUACACCGACAGAGUGCUGUGAAAGCUUCUCAGCAGGCCUCGAGGAAGAUGAUGAUGAAACAGUAACGCAACAGAGCUAAAGACACUCCAUCACGCGCCCUCGUUUCCUGCAGGACAGAGGGAAGGAGGGUGAUGACGUGUAAACAAUCCCGAUGGAACCGAAGCAACGAAUUCCCGCCGCGGACUCCCGAUGGCAGACGCGUGCGGGUCUAGACGGCGGCACAGGACGUCAUCGGGCGUCACUCCACACCUGCAUCGCGCUCAGGUCUCUCUCACAGUCGGAUCGGAUUAGUAUAAAACCCAAACGUCCCGUCCUGCAGGAAGGAAGCGUCGAGUCGAGUCGCGCUCUCCUCGUUAAUGUUUGAUGAAGAAACUCGAGCGGCAUGAAAACCCCACCGGUCUGCUGACUCUCUGUGGCACCGAGGAACGCUGAAAAUCUCCCGCUCUUCAUCCAGACGGACCUGAGACGGGCCUCGUCCCAAAUCGGGAGUGGACACUUCAGAGAGUAAAUGACAGCGACAGCGACAGGUUUGUGACACAAACUUUUUAUUUAAAAAGAGUGUGUGGUUUGGGACACGCCCACAUGAUGGUGUGUAUGUGGCCUAUAUGGUGACUAGAGAGUGUGUGGUUUGGGACACGCUCACAUGAUGGGGUUUAUGUUUCCUGUAUAGUGAGUAAAGAGUGUGUGGUUUGGGACACGCCCACAUGAUGGUGUUUAAGUUUCCUAUAUAGUGAGUAAAGAGUGUGUGGUUUGGGACACGCCCACAUGAUGGUGUUUAAGUUUCCUAUAUAGUGAGUAAAGAGUGUGUGGUUUGGGACACGCCCACAUGAUGGUGUUUAUGUUUCCUAUAUAGUGAGUAAAGAGUGUGUGGUUUGGGACACGCCCACAUGAUGGUGUCUAUGUGGCCUAUAUAGUGAGUAAAGAGUGUGUGGAUUGGAACACGCCCACAUGAUGGUGUUUAUGUGGCCUAUAUAGUGCGUAAUGAGUGUGAGGAUUGGAACACGCCCACAUGAUGGUGUUUAUGUGGAGUAUAUAGUGCGUAAUGAGUGUGUGGAUUGGGACACGCCCACAUGAUGGUGUUUAUGUGGAAUAUAUAGUGCGUAAUGAGUGUGUGGAUUGGGACACGCCACGUGAUGGUGUCUAUGUGGCCUGUAUAGUGCGUAAAGAGUGUGUGGAUUGGGACACGCACACAUGAUGGUGUUUAUGUGGAGUAUAUAGUGCGUAAAGAGUGUGUGGAUUGGGACACGCCCACAUGAUGGUGUUUAUGUGGCCUAUAUAGUACGUAAUGAGUGUGUGGAUUGGAACACGCCCACAUGAUGGUGUUUAUGUGGCCUAUAUAGUGCGUAAU